UCUUGGGCAGAAGCUCAGUCAGUAGAGCAUGAGACUCUUCAUCUCAGGGUUGUGAGUUCAAGCCCCACAUUGGGAA
Podarcis lilfordi (Lilford's wall lizard) is the source of this 76-nucleotide non-coding RNA. The record is from the annotation of a GenBank genome assembly. NCBI's taxonomy places the organism in Eukaryota, Metazoa, Chordata, Lepidosauria, Squamata, Lacertidae.